AUGAACGCUGGCGGCGUGCCUCAUACAUGCAAGUCGAGCGAACAGAUGAGGAGCUUGCUCCUCUGACGUUAGCGGCGGACGGGUGAGUAACACGUGGAUAACCUACCUAUAAGACUGGGAUAACUUCGGGAAACCGGAGCUAAUACCGGAUAAUAUAUUGAACCGCAUGGUUCAAUAGUGAAAGACGGUUUUGCUGUCACUUAUAGAUGGAUCCGCGCCGCAUUAGCUAGUUGGUAAGGUAACGGCUUACCAAGGCGACGAUGCGUAGCCGACCUGAGAGGGUGAUCGGCCACACUGGAACUGAGACACGGUCCAGACUCCUACGGGAGGCAGCAGUAGGGAAUCUUCCGCAAUGGGCGAAAGCCUGACGGAGCAACGCCGCGUGAGUGAUGAAGGUCUUCGGAUCGUAAAACUCUGUUAUUAGGGAAGAACAAAUGUGUAAGUAACUAUGCACGUCUUGACGGUACCUAAUCAGAAAGCCACGGCUAACUACGUG
RNAcentral lists this ribosomal RNA (496 nucleotides) under uncultured bacterium. RNAcentral's name for it is "partial 16S ribosomal RNA". It matches the Rfam family "Bacterial small subunit ribosomal RNA", at positions 29 to 507 of the family's 1533-position model. The record is from RNAcentral.